RNAcentral lists this ribosomal RNA (497 nucleotides) under uncultured bacterium. RNAcentral describes it as "partial 16S ribosomal RNA". It matches the Rfam family "Bacterial small subunit ribosomal RNA", at positions 28 to 507 of the family's 1533-position model. The record is from RNAcentral.
GAUGAACGCUGGCGGCGUGCCUAAUACAUGCAAGUCGAGCGAACAGACGAGGAGCUUGCUCCUCUGACGUUAGCGGCGGACGGGUGAGUAACACGUGGAUAACCUACCUAUAAGACUGGGAUAACUUCGGGAAACCGGAGCUAAUACCGGAUAAUAUAUUGAACCGCAUGGUUCAAGAGUGAAAGAGGGUUUUGCCGUCACUUAUAGAUGGAUCCGCGCCGCAUUAGCUAGUUGGUAAGGUAACGGCUUACCAAGGCAACGAUGCGUAGCCGACCUGAGAGGGUGAUCGGCCACACUGGAACUGAGACACGGUCCAGACUCCUACGGGAGGCAGCAGUAGGGAAUCUUCCGCAAUGGGCGAAAGCUUGACGGAGCAACGCCGCGUGAGUGAUGAAGGUCUUCGGAUCGUAAAACUCUGUUAUUAGGGAAGAACAAAUGUGUAAGUAACUAUGCACGUCUUGACGGUACCUAAUCAGAAAGCCACGGCUAACUACGUG